This 344-nucleotide ribosomal RNA is filed under the name Bacillus cereus. RNAcentral describes it as "bacterial SSU rRNA". It matches the Rfam family "Bacterial small subunit ribosomal RNA", at positions 1 to 332 of the family's 1533-position model. Lineage: Bacteria; Bacillati; Bacillota; Bacilli; Caryophanales; Bacillaceae. The record is from RNAcentral. RNAcentral also lists the same sequence under 3 other names.
UUUAUUGGAGAGUUUGAUCCUGGCUCAGGAUGAACGCUGGCGGCGUGCCUAAUACAUGCAAGUCGAGCGAAUGGAUUAAGAGCUUGCUCUUAUGAAGUUAGCGGCGGACGGGUGAGUAACACGUGGGUAACCUGCCCAUAAGACUGGGAUAACUCCGGGAAACCGGGGCUAAUACCGGAUAACAUUUUGAACUGCAUGGUUCGAAAUUGAAAGGCGGCUUCGGCUGUCACUUAUGGAUGGACCCGCGUCGCAUUAGCUAGUUGGUGAGGUAACGGCUCACCAAGGCAACGAUGCGUAGCCGACCUGAGAGGGUGAUCGGCCACACUGGGACUGAGACACGGCCC